CGGAAACAGAGUAAGAAUCGCCUGCAGUCCAAAUCGGCUAAGGUCAGGUCGGCAGAGUUCGAGUCGGACGGGGCUAGCCGAUACAGCCGAUUCCGAUAAUAUGACUCGGCGUAUGUCGUCGGGUUCAAGUUGAUGUGCUUCAAAGAUGAUUGCCACGCAUGGAUAGAGUCCUGGAAAGGCAAUUGUAUCUAUUAAUUAGGAUAUUUUGUGUAAUUUCCUUAGAGAUAUGUGUAGCGCCCGUUCCGUCGUGGCGCCUAGCGGGAAAAUUAUCUCUUAAAAACCCUAAUUGCGAAAUUUGUUUCUUUGCUUGCUGUCUAGUGUCCGUGCCAUCUCAGAUCUCAAUCCCCGAUCUAUCGUCGAGUCCAAUUCCGAAUCCAAAUCCUUCCAAAUCAAAUCCCUCCGCAGAAGUCUAUUUUGCCUCCCCCGGGGUCGAUGGGCCGAUUUUCUCUCGGCCCAUCUCCCCCUCUCCCCCGGCCCAUCUUCCCCCUCCCUCCCCGGCGCGCUCCUCUCUUCCUCUCCCUCCGCUCCGCUCCGCCUGCCCGCGCGCGUGUGCGAGCGCCGCCCGAGCCCCCUCCUCCGCUCUGCCCGCGCGUGCGUGACGCGCCCACGCCGAGCCGAGCCCUCUUUUCCGCCCCUUCGCUGCCGCUCCCCGCGCGCCGUUGUUCGCGCGCGCGCCCGCGUGGUCCUCGCCCGCGUCGCGCCUGCAGCCGCCCAGGCCCCGCUGCCCUGCCGCGCCUGCAGCCGCGCAGCCGCUUGGCCCCGCGCGCCAGCGCGCGUGCCCGAGCCGCGCCAACUCCAUCCGCCGCGCCUCCCGUUGCAAGCCGCGCGCGCGUGCCGUGGUGGCCGACCGCCCGGUCGCCGCCGCCGUCAGCCUCUGCACGCGCCUGUCGCCAGUGUCGCCGCUCCGCUCCAAACCGCCCCGCCAUCAUCGCCGUCGUCACCGCCCAGCCCCCGCCACUCCGCAUGCAAGCCGCCAAGGGACGGAGGCAGCGCCCCUCCUCCCUCUGCGCGCUCGCUCCCGCUCUCCUCUCCUUUUUCCCGAAUCGGCAAAGGGGCAAGCCCCCUUUCUCCCCCUCCUUUUCCCCUUUUCCUCCUCGCCGGCGUCAUCCUCCCUGUCGCCGCUUUGGCCACGACCGCCGAGCGCCAGCUCGCGCCCUUGACCGCGCAAGUCGGUUCCCAAACCGACAUUGCCGCCCCUUUAAACCCCCAGCCUCCCCUUUCCCUUCCUCUUCCAUUCGUCUCCGCUCCAUUGCCGCCGCCCCCGUGCUCUGUCUCGCCUCCGCCGUCCUUCGCCGAGCGCCGGGAGAGCCGGUGCGUUCGAGGACGCGGAAGGGGACUCCGGGCGUGCCCUCGCUUCUUCCUCUUCCUCGGCCCGAGGCCGGAGAGAUUACUCCCGCGCCGUCGGCCUCUCGUCACAGCGCCCCUCCUCUUCUCGGUGAUGCCUCUCUCCGUUCUUCCUCCUCGCUCCAUCUCCCCCCUAGCUUUCGGUAGUAGCUUGAGUAGCCUCCCCGUAGUUAGCCGGCGCCGCCCCGACCGUUGCCGUCGCUCGCCGUGUGCUCGCCGCCGUCGCCGCCCGAGCUCCGUAGCCCCCGCUCGUCGCCAGCCUCGCUCGGCGUAGUUCCGCCCAAUCCGACGCUAGCGUCGAGUUCCCGAAGCCGCGUGGAUGCUCUCACCGCCGGGAAUCGACCCCUCGUGGCCUCGUCGCCGUUUCCCUCUUCUCCCGCCGCCGGUUGCCGCCGCCGCAAUCCGCCGCCGUCGAGCAACCUCCGGCGAAUCCGAGCCGUUGGCUCGUCUCCCCUUGUCACGUACAACCACCCGGUGUGCUCGCUUUUGCCCGUAUCGCCGUGGUUCACUCCGCCGCUCGCCGUCGCCGCCCGCCGUCCAAUCGCGGCCGGGUCGUCGUCUACCUCCCGCCGGCCCGCGAGGCAGCCACGUAGGCGCCACGUCGGCGCCAGCUCAGCCUAGACCGGGUCGAGCCGACCCCGGUCAGCCCCUCCCCUUGCGCGCGUUCCACCGCGAGCCGAGAGGCUGCGCGUGGGCCCGCCGCACCCGCGUCCACCGCAAACCGCGCGCGUGCACCGCGUCCAUCCCGCGCCCGCGCGCGUGCGCAGCAUGCUCCCUCCGCACGGUGAGCCGAGCCGCUGACAAGCGGGUCCCACCCGGGACCGCGCGUGGUGAGCCCUGUCCACCGGCCCUCACUCUCUCCUCCCCCCCCCCGCGCGCGCUCUGGGCCGCCUUUUGGGCCGGCCGGCCCAUUAAGCUCAGCCGAGCCGCCCCAAAUCUCUUGGGCCGCACCCUAGCCGCCCGAGAAAAGUCUAUAUUCCCUCCCCCUUUUUUUUUCUUUUCUUUUUCUUUUCCAAAAAGGAUUUAAUUAAAUCCUUUUCCUUUAGACCAAAAAUCCAAUAAUCUUAGAAAUACAAUAUCUUCCCAACCGUAAGUCCGUUUGACUCCGUUCAACUCCCAAAAUUCCUCAAAUCUCGAGAUCUAUUUAAUGGCAUGCUUAGAGGUCAUUAAUAGGGCUUUAUUUUCGCCGUUUGUUGAGUUGUCCCGUUUCGCGUGUAGUUUCGGAGCCCGAAGACCCGCAGUGCGAGGAUUUCGAGGAUCAAGCUCCAGAUCUCGAGCAAGGCAAGCCACCUUUGAACAUCUUGAGCCUAUAUUUGAAAUCUAAUUAUAUUGCUUGAAAAAUAUUAUGCAUUGAUAGGAUCGCAUUUAAUCUGUUGUCCCGUCUGCAAGGCAGAUUGGCGGACUUACCUAACUUGUUGCAUUUGAUCCUUCCAUUGUUAAUUGCUACACCAUGUCCCCUUGUAACUACCCAGUUGCACCUCGAUAUUCGUGCACUCUGUGCGAGUAUCGACGGUCGCCUUCAAACUUAAAAUCUGAGUAACAACUUGGGUAAAACUUGGGUUUUACAAAAGAUUGGAAAACCCGACACCUGGGUCGGUGCUUGCGAACUAAAUGAAUUUCCAAAACCGCGGACCGGGGAACGUACCGGGUGUACGGUUUCCCGCUCUUGCACUUAAGGACCGUUUCCUUGGAAUUUCAUCCGAACAUAAGACAAGUACGACCACAUGGGUAGAAUGGGACACCCCUGGCUGAGUAACUAGCUUAUCAGGGGAGCCUUGAUGCCGAGAGACAUGUGGAUUCGCCGGGGUGGUGUCAGGGAGGACCCCUGGGCUUCCUGGCACAGUAUGGUCUGGGACCUAACCUGUUGUUGGUCUGGGACCCCUCUCGUCGGCAUAUGGUAAACCUGUGUCGGCUUUGGAAAUGCCUUGUCAUGAAAGCUUGGAGGUCUCCCGACGUGGCUGAUCCCCACGGGCUGGGUGAUCCGGGUUAGUAAUGUCGUGUGGGUAAAGUGUACCCCCUCUGCAGAGGUUAACAAACUGUUCGAAUAGUCGUGCCCACGGUCAUGGGCGGAUGUGAGGUGAUUCCUAGCGUAGUUUUGUUUGACUACUGCUUGUGAAAUUGCUGUUGAGAAAAGGGGUUCGAUGUUUGAAAAAUCUGUAGCUGAUGAGAUCAGCUAGGCCCGGGUGGCCGUUUGAAAAGUUGUUGGCCCAGGUGGCCGUUUGAAAAAGCUGUUGGCCGGGUGCCAACCUUGUUUCAAUUCUAAAGACUGAUACAUUGCACAUACUCCGACCGGACGAGACGCACUGUCUCAUCCGUGUCGUUUGAGAAGCACUCACUUAGUUGUUUUCAGAAAAUGGUUCAAAUAAAAUCAAUUGCUAAAACAACAGCCUUCCCUUGAAGCCUGCAAUAAACACCUUAUUUCCCCUGGCUUGCUGAGUACUCCCGUACUCACCCUUGCUCUAUAUAAAUAACCCCCCCCCAGUUGCUGAAGAAGAUGAAGCGGAUCCGGCUGAUGAAGAGUUCUUCCAAGAGCAACCCGGCUUCGAUGAGUUUUAGGGUUUCGGCCUAGUUCCCAAGUCGCGCCUGUGAUGAUUGGUCCAAGUCCUGACUUCCGCUUUCCUUUUGUAAUGCAGUUGUGAGCUCGGGAUCUGUCCGCAGCCCAACAUGACUGUACUUCUACUCUAUAAUAAAGAGACCUCUGUUGUUGUGAUAUUCUGUCUCCCUGUGAUACCAGCACUGUUUCCUGGGACUGGUAUCGAUUAACAGGUUAAUUUGGAGCGUCACGGGCUAGUUCCGGUCGGUACUAGUUUGGGGCGUGACAAUAUGUUUGGGCAAAAGUCUGCCGUAAAGACUUAUGGUAUCUUAGAGUUUGUUAGAGAUAAUAGUCGUGUCCGUUAUGGACGUAUCUUGUAAUUCUCAGAUAUAAGUAGACCCGAGCCCUAUGUAAAAAAAGGACUCAUCCAAUACAAUCUCAGCGCAUCGCCACCCUUUUUAUUCUAUAUGCUUGAUCUAUGUGUUAAAUCUGCCCUUUAUGUUAGGAUCUUGUCGCAUCUAGAUAUAUUAGACUUCUGUUUGGUAUAUUCUACUUGCUUUAACAUCUUAAUAUAGAGUGGUAUCGGAGUAUUAGCCGAUGCAUGCUAGAUACAUUUGAUCGGCUAUGAUAUAAAUGUAUCUAAUCCCACUAUUAAUAUAUAUUUCGAUCUAAAUGAUUUAUACUGUCUCGGCAAGGCGACCGAUCUAUCCCAAUCACUUGAUUUAAAUAUAUAUCGAUAUAAGGAUUAUAUAUCAUUAAUAUCUACAGCCGAUCGAGUAGAUUUAGUUAUGAUUUGCUUAUUGAUAUUUGCCGAUCGAUGUACGUAUGACAUCGGCUUGAAAUAAAUGAUAUGUCAUCGGCACCUAGCCGAUCGGCUAUCAUUUAUAGGAUUAAUUGCGGUUUUUUUGUUCUAUUUCUUAUUGAUUGCAGGAUCAAAUCAACUGGCACGCUCAUACACCUGAAGGCGAGUUUUGGACCUGCACUGGAGUUGAGCAGAUCUCCCAGGCCUCGU
This 4889-nucleotide long non-coding RNA is filed under the name Oryza sativa (Asian cultivated rice). Its description in RNAcentral is "long non-coding RNA (OSAT_LNC000891)". The record is from RNAcentral. Lineage: Eukaryota; Viridiplantae; Streptophyta; Magnoliopsida; Poales; Poaceae.